UACGUAGGUGGCAAGCGUUGUCCGGAAUUAUUGGGCGUAAAGAGCAUGUAGGUGGAUACUUAAGUCUGUUGUGAAAAUGCGGGGCUCAACCCCGUAUUGCGAUGGAAACUGGGUGUCUUGAGUGCAGGAGAGGAAAGGGGAAUUCCCAGUGUAGCGGUGAAAUGCGUAGAUAUUGGGAGGAACACCAGUGGCGAAGGCGCCUUUCUGGACUGUGUCUGACACUGAGAUGCGAAAGCUAGGGGAGCGAGCGGGAUUAGAUACCCCGGUAGUCCUAGCCGUAAACGAUGGGUACUAGGUGUAGGGGGUAUCGACCCCCCCUGUGCCGGAGUUAACGCAAUAAGUACCCCGCCUGGGGAGUACGGCCGCAAGGUUGAA
This 375-nucleotide ribosomal RNA is filed under the name uncultured bacterium. Its description in RNAcentral is "bacterial SSU rRNA". It matches the Rfam family "Bacterial small subunit ribosomal RNA", at positions 524 to 898 of the family's 1533-position model. The record is from RNAcentral.